UACGGGGGGGGCAAGCGUUGUUCGGAAUUACUGGGCGUAAAGGGCUCGUAGGUGGCCAACUAAGUCAGACGUGAAAUCCCUCAGCUUAACUGGGGAACUGCGUCUGAAACUGGUUGGCUUGAGUGCAGGAGAGGAAUGCGGAAUUCCAGGUGUAGCGGUGAAAUGCGUAGAUAUCUGGAGGAACACCGGUGGCGAAGGCGGCAUUCUGGACUGUAACUGACGCUGAGGAACGAAAGCCAGGGGAGCAAACGGG
Molecule: ribosomal RNA, 253 nt
Filed under: uncultured bacterium
Lineage: Bacteria
Description: partial 16S ribosomal RNA
Rfam family: Bacterial small subunit ribosomal RNA
Source: RNAcentral